This 406-nucleotide ribosomal RNA is filed under the name uncultured bacterium. Its description in RNAcentral is "partial 16S ribosomal RNA". It matches the Rfam family "Bacterial small subunit ribosomal RNA", at positions 30 to 526 of the family's 1533-position model. The record is from RNAcentral.
AUUGAACGCUGGCGGCAGGCCUAACACAUGCAAGUCGAGCGAGCGGCGGACGGGUGAGCAAGGUAUGGGGAUCUGCCCGAUAGAGGGGGAUCACUACUGGAAACUGUGGCUAAUACCGCAUAGUAUAGGAUGAACCCAUAUUGGCUUAGCUAGUGGGGAGGGUAAAGGCACACCUAGGCGACGAUCUCUAGCUGGUCUGAGAGGAUGACCAGCCACACUGGAACUGAGACACGGACCAGACUCCUACGGGAGGCAGCAGUGGGGAAUAUUGGACAAUGGGCGCAAUCCUGAUGCAGCCAUGCCGCGUGUGUGAAGAAGGCCUUCGGUUUGUAAAGUACUUUCAGCGGGGAGGCGUUACCCACAGAAUAAGCACCGGCUAACUCCGUGCCAGCAGCCGCGGUAAUUC